RNAcentral lists this microRNA precursor (145 nucleotides) under Chlorocebus sabaeus (green monkey). Its description in RNAcentral is "miRNA (ENSCSAG00000021438.1)". Lineage: Eukaryota; Metazoa; Chordata; Mammalia; Primates; Cercopithecidae. The record is from RNAcentral.
UGGCUGUGCAUGGACUGGCACUGCGGGUAGUCAGCCUUGGUGAAGAACUGGGCGCAGCCCACGAUGUUGGUGGCUGUGAGUGUUGUGGCUGUGUCAUCCCACAUGGCCAGCACACACAAGUCGUAGCCGGUCCCAGACACCAAGU